CAGGUCUACCUGCCUUCUGCAUUACUUAUCACUAAUGAAAUAGGCAUGAAACUGUGGAGGUUCAGGUAUUGUGUGGAAGAGAAUGGCAAGCAGGAUAAUGCAGGCCCUAUUAAAAAAAAUCACCUGCCAUGGAAAAGUGAUACUUCCUGGAGACCACCACCAGACCCGGGCCAGGGGAAGCGGACCCUCUAGAAGACUACAAAGGUCUGCAAAUGGCCCAUCAUACAAAGCCAACUGAGCAACUCGACACCUGUCCCUGUUUGCAAGUGUCUGGGGCGUGCUGUAGCCUCCUCUCAGUGCAUUCUCCUCAGCAAUCAGCGCUUCCAGCUCUGGUGUGGCUCCUCCUGUUACCAACGUCCGUAUCAGUGUGAGGAUAUUGUCAUUGAAGUAUGUCUGCAAAGAUAAAAGAAAGCUCUUUAAGCAAACACCAUUAAAGUCACAACUGAAGACAUCCAAAUUACAACUUUUCUGGGUUUCUGCUGUUUAAAGUUCUUGGCUGUCUCUUCAAAUAAUUUUACAUAGAAAAUGAAAAGACAGCAGCCUCCAAUUACUCUAUUUUCUUCUAUCCCAUUAGGCUCCUACACUAGAUCCUGCCUUUUAAACACCAAUUCAAGCUGUUUUUUAUUAAAGAACAAAAAUUUGAAUGA
Molecule: long non-coding RNA, 647 nt
Organism: Mauremys reevesii (Reeves's turtle)
Lineage: Eukaryota; Metazoa; Chordata; Testudines; Geoemydidae
Exons: 3
Source: RefSeq, a predicted model, not a curated record